GGGGUUAUAGCCCAGUGGUAGAGCAUUCGACUGCAGAUCAAGAGGUCGCCAAUUCAAACCCGGGUGCCCCCU
Aedes aegypti (yellow fever mosquito) is the source of this 72-nucleotide non-coding RNA. The record is from Rfam. Lineage: Eukaryota; Metazoa; Arthropoda; Insecta; Diptera; Culicidae.